AGAGUUUGAUCAUGGCUCAGGAUGAACGCUGGCGGUAUGCCUAACACAUGCAAGUCGAACGAUGUCUUCGGACAUAGUGGCGGACGGGUGAGUAACGCGUGAGAAUCUGCCUCUAGGAUGGGGAUAACGGUUGGAAACGACCGCUAACACCCAAUAUGCCGUAAGGUGAAAAAUUUAUUGCCUGGAGAGGAGCUCGCGUCUGAUUAGCUAGUUGGUGGGGUAAGAGCUCACCAAGGCCUCGAUCAGUAGCUGGUCUGAGAGGAUGAGCAGCCACACUGGGACUGAGACACGGCCCAGACUCCUACGGGAGGCAGCAGUGGGGAAUUUUCCGCAAUGGGCGAAAGCCUGACGGAGCAAUACCGCGUGAGGGAGGAAUGCCUUUGGGUUGUAAACCUCUUUUCUCAGGGAAGAAGAUCUGACGGUACCUGAGGAAUAAGUAUCGGCUAACUCCGUGCCAGCAGCCGCGGUAAUACGGAGGAUGCAAGCGUUAUCCGGAAUCAUUGGGCGUAAAGCGUCCGCAGGUGGUUUCCAAAGUCUGCUGUUAAAGACUGGAGCUCAACUCCGGAACGGCGGUGGAAACUUGGAAACUAGAGUUCGGUAGGGGUAGCAGGAAUUCCCAGUGUAGCGGUGAAAUGCGUAGAUAUUGGGAAGAACAUCGGUGGCGAAGGCGUGCUACUGGACCGUAACUGACACUCAGGGACGAAAGCUAGGGGAGCGAAAGGGAUUAGAUACCCCUGUAGUCCUAGCUGUAAACGAUGGAAACUAGGUGUGGCUUGUAUCGACCCGAGCCGUGCCGUAGCUAACGCGUUAAGUUUCCCGCCUGGGGAGUACGCACGCAAGUGUGAAACUCAAAGGAA
RNAcentral lists this ribosomal RNA (857 nucleotides) under uncultured marine microorganism. RNAcentral's name for it is "bacterial SSU rRNA". It matches the Rfam family "Bacterial small subunit ribosomal RNA", at positions 8 to 909 of the family's 1533-position model. The record is from RNAcentral.